UACGUAGGCAGCGAGCGUUGUUCGGAAUUACUGGGCGUAAAGGGUGUGUAGGCGGGUCUUUAAGUUUGGUGUGAAAUCUUCCGGCUCAACUGGGAGGGUGCGCCGAAUACUGAGGGACUAGAGUGCGGGAGAGGAAAGUGGAAUUCCUGGUGUAGCGGUGAAAUGCGCAGAUAUCAGGAAGAACACCCGUGGCGAAGGCGGCUCUCUGGAACGCAACUGACGCUGAGACGCGAAAGCGUGGGGAGCAAACAGG
This 253-nucleotide ribosomal RNA is filed under the name uncultured bacterium. Its description in RNAcentral is "partial 16S ribosomal RNA". It matches the Rfam family "Bacterial small subunit ribosomal RNA", at positions 524 to 776 of the family's 1533-position model. The record is from RNAcentral.